GCAAGUCGAACGCCCUCUUCGGAGGGAGUGGCAGACGGGUGAGUAACGCGUGGGAAUCUACCUAGUACUACGGAAUAACACAGAGAAAUUUGUGCUAAUACCGUAUACGCCCUUCGGGGGAAAGAUUUAUCGGUAUUGGAUGAGCCCGCGUUUGAUUAGCUAGUUGGUGAGGUAAUGGCUCACCAAGGCGACGAUCCAUAGCUGGUCUGAGAGGAUGAUC
RNAcentral lists this ribosomal RNA (220 nucleotides) under uncultured bacterium. RNAcentral's name for it is "partial 16S ribosomal RNA". It matches the Rfam family "Bacterial small subunit ribosomal RNA", at positions 57 to 305 of the family's 1533-position model. The record is from RNAcentral.